CUCCCGUUGAUCCUGCCGGACCUGACUGCUAUCGGAUUGAUACUAAGCCAUGCGAGUCAUUGUAGCAAUACAAGGCAGACGGCUCAGUAACGCGUAGUCAAUCUACCCUAUGGACGGGAAUAACCUCGGGAAACUGAGAAUAAUGCCCGAUAGAACAUUAUGCCUGGAAUGGUUUAUGUUUCAAAUGAUUUAUCGCCAUAGGAUGGGACUGCGGCCUAUCAGUUUGUUGGUGAGGUAAUGGCCCACCAAGACUAUUACAGGUACGGGCUCUGAGAGGAGUAGCCCGGAGAUGGGUACUGAGACACGGACCCAGGCCCUAUGGGGCGCAGCAGGCGAGAAAACUUUGCAAUGUGCGAAAGCACGACAAGGUUAAUCCGAGUGUGUUUCUGCUAAAGNUAACCUUUUGUCAGUCCUAGAAACACUCAGAGCGAAUAAGGGGUGGGCAAGUUCUGGUGCCAGCAGCCGC
Molecule: ribosomal RNA, 466 nt
Filed under: uncultured archaeon
Lineage: Archaea
Description: bacterial SSU rRNA
Rfam family: Archaeal small subunit ribosomal RNA
Source: RNAcentral